RNAcentral lists this ribosomal RNA (1412 nucleotides) under Harttia tuna. RNAcentral's name for it is "partial 16S ribosomal RNA". It matches the Rfam family "Bacterial large subunit ribosomal RNA", at positions 267 to 2519 of the family's 2925-position model. Lineage: Eukaryota; Metazoa; Chordata; Actinopteri; Siluriformes; Loricariidae. The record is from RNAcentral.
GCCAAACAACUAGCUUAAACACAUAAAUUUUUCUACAACAUUAAAAACGACUAUCUUAACCAAAACUAUGAAAAUAAAACAUUCUCCCGCCCUAGUAUGAGUGACAGAAAAGGCCCUAUUAAGCUAUAAAAAAGUACCGCAAGGGAAAGAUGAAAAAGAAAUGAAAUAAACCAUUUAAGCCUAACAAAGCAGAGACUAGUCCUCGUACCUUUCGCAUCAUGAUUUAGCCAGCCAUCCUGAGCAAAGAGAACUUUAGUUCACAACCCCGAAACUAGGUGAGCUACCCCGAGACAGCCUAUUAUAGGGCCAACCCGUCUCUGUGGCAAAAGAGUGGGAAGAUCUCCGGGUAGAGGUGACAAACCUACCGAACCUAGUUAUAGCUGGUUGCCUGAGAAAUGGAUAUUAGUUCAGCCCCGUGCUCCUCAAUUCACAAAAAUUAUUACUACCUAAGACUAUGAGAAAUACACGAGAGUUAGUCAGAGGGGGUACAGCCCCUCUGAAAAGGAAUACAACCCUAUCAGGAGGUUAAAGAUUAUAUUAACUAAGAUUCCUGCUUUAGUAGGCCUAAAAGCAGCCAUCUAAAUAGAAAGCGUUAAAGCUCAAGCAGCCAAAAAUCUAUUAUUUCAAUAAUUUUCUCUUAAACCCCUAACCAUAUCAGGCCUUUCUAUGUAAACAUAGAAAUGACACUGCUAAAAUGAGUAACAAGAAGGGCAUCGCCCUUCUCCCAGCCCACGUGUAAGCUAGAUCGGACCCCCCACUAGCCAUUAACGAACCCACUAAAAGAGGGCAAUAUGACCAAAAAGAUAACCAAGAAAAAAUCACAGCCUACUAUCGUUAACCCCACACUGGAGGGCCCAUGAGGAAAGACUAAAAGGAUAAAGGAAGGAACUCGGCAAACAUAAGCCUCGCCUGUUUACCAAAAACAUGGCCUCCCGCAAAGCUCGAUGUAUAGGAGGUCUUACCUGCCCAGUGACUGUAAGUUUAACGGCCGCGGUAUUUUGACCGUGCAAAGGUAGCGCAAUCACUUGUCUUUUAAAUGAAGACCUGUAUGAAUGGUGAAACGAGGGCUUAACUGUCUCCCUCUCCUAGUCAGUGAAAUUGAUCUAUUCGUGCAGAAGCGGAUAUAUUACUACAAGACGAGAAGACCCUUUGGAGCUUAAGGUAAAAACUAACUAUGUCAAGAGUCAAAAAGACUAAACCAAAUAGCCCUAGUUCCUACCUUCGGUUGGGGCGACCACGGGAGAAAAUAAAGCUCCCAUGAGGACUGGGGGUAACCCCCUAAAACUAAGAGAAACAUCUCUAAGGCACAGAAUAUCUGACCACUGAUCCGGCCAUAAGCCGACCAACGAACCAAGUUACCCUAGGGAUAACAGCGCAAUCCCCUUUCAGAGUCCAUAUCGACAAGGGGGUUU